This 243-nucleotide ribosomal RNA is filed under the name Triticum aestivum (bread wheat). RNAcentral describes it as "partial small subunit ribosomal RNA". The record is from RNAcentral. Lineage: Eukaryota; Viridiplantae; Streptophyta; Magnoliopsida; Poales; Poaceae.
AGCGGGAACCCUCGCCCAGUCCAGCAUAUGAACGCUUUUCAGGAAGCAAUAAGAAACUGUGAGUUGCGAGACUUGGGUUACAUUGGAGACCCAUUCACAUGGCGUCGAGGCAGAAUUCGUGCGCGACUGGAUAGAGGGCUGGUAAAUGAGGCUUGGGCAUCGAUCUUCCCCCAUACUGCACUGGUAAAUACAGAAUUCAAUCACUCAGACCACCGCCCUCUUCUUGUUGAUACAAAUUACUAU